CUGACGGAGCAACGCCGCGUGAGGGAGGAAGGCCUGUGGGUUGUAAACCUCUUUUCUCAGGGAAGAAGUUCUGACGGUACCUGAGGAAUCAGCAUCGGCUAACUCCGUGCCAGCAGCCGCGGUAAGACGGAGGAUGCAAGCGUUAUCCCGGAAUUAUUGGGCGUAAAGCGUCCGUAGGCGGCCUAUAAAGUCUGCUGUCAAAGCCCACAGCUCAACUGUGGAUCGGCAGUGGAAACUAUGAGGCUUGAGAGUGGUAGGGGUAGAGGGAAUUCCUAGUGUAGCGGUGAAAUGCGUAGAUAUUAGGAAGAACACCAGUGGCGAAGGCGCUCUACUGGGCCAUUACUGACGGCUGAUGGACGAAAGCUAGGGGAGCGAAAGGGAUUAGAUACCCCUGUAGU
This 398-nucleotide ribosomal RNA is filed under the name uncultured bacterium. RNAcentral describes it as "bacterial SSU rRNA". It matches the Rfam family "Bacterial small subunit ribosomal RNA", at positions 383 to 794 of the family's 1533-position model. The record is from RNAcentral.